RNAcentral lists this ribosomal RNA (1565 nucleotides) under Enterococcus hirae ATCC 9790. RNAcentral's name for it is "bacterial SSU rRNA". It matches the Rfam family "Bacterial small subunit ribosomal RNA". The record is from RNAcentral. Lineage: Bacteria; Bacillati; Bacillota; Bacilli; Lactobacillales; Enterococcaceae.
UGAGAGUUUGAUCCUGGCUCAGGACGAACGCUGGCGGCGUGCCUAAUACAUGCAAGUCGAACGCUUCUUUUUCCACCGGAGCUUGCUCCACCGGAAAAAGAGGAGUGGCGAACGGGUGAGUAACACGUGGGUAACCUGCCCAUCAGAAGGGGAUAACACUUGGAAACAGGUGCUAAUACCGUAUAACAAUCGAAACCGCAUGGUUUUGAUUUGAAAGGCGCUUUCGGGUGUCGCUGAUGGAUGGACCCGCGGUGCAUUAGCUAGUUGGUGAGGUAACGGCUCACCAAGGCGACGAUGCAUAGCCGACCUGAGAGGGUGAUCGGCCACAUUGGGACUGAGACACGGCCCAAACUCCUACGGGAGGCAGCAGUAGGGAAUCUUCGGCAAUGGACGAAAGUCUGACCGAGCAACGCCGCGUGAGUGAAGAAGGUUUUCGGAUCGUAAAACUCUGUUGUUAGAGAAGAACAAGGAUGAGAGUAACUGUUCAUCCCUUGACGGUAUCUAACCAGAAAGCCACGGCUAACUACGUGCCAGCAGCCGCGGUAAUACGUAGGUGGCAAGCGUUGUCCGGAUUUAUUGGGCGUAAAGCGAGCGCAGGCGGUUUCUUAAGUCUGAUGUGAAAGCCCCCGGCUCAACCGGGGAGGGUCAUUGGAAACUGGGAGACUUGAGUGCAGAAGAGGAGAGUGGAAUUCCAUGUGUAGCGGGUGAAAUGCGUAGAUAUAUGGAGGAACACCAGUGGCGAAGGCGGCUCUCUGGUCUGUAACUGACGCUGAGGCUCGAAAGCGUGGGGAGCAAAACAGGAUUAGAUACCCUGGUAGUCCACGCCGUAAACGAUGAGUGCUAAGUGUUGGAGGGUUUCCGCCCUUCAGUGCUGCAGCUAACGCAUUAAGCACUCCGCCUGGGGAGUACGACCGCAAGGUUGAAACUCAAAGGAAUUGACGGGGGCCCGCACAAGCGGUGGAGCAUGUGGUUUAAUUCGAAGCAACGCGAAGAACCUUACCAGGUCUUGACAUCCUUUGACCACUCUAGAGAUAGAGCUUCCCCUUCGGGGGCAAAGUGACAGGUGGUGCAUGGUUGUCGUCAGCUCGUGUCGUGAGAUGUUGGGUUAAGUCCCGCAACGAGCGCAACCCUUAUUGUUAGUUGCCAUCAUUUAGUUGGGCACUCUAGCAAGACUGCCGGUGACAAACCGGAGGAAGGUGGGGAUGACGUCAAAUCAUCAUGCCCCUUAUGACCUGGGCUACACACGUGCUACAAUGGGAAGUACAACGAGUCGCAAAGUCGCGAGGCUAAGCUAAUCUCUUAAAGCUUCUCUCAGUUCGGAUUGUAGGCUGCAACUCGCCUACAUGAAGCCGGAAUCGCUAGUAAUCGCGGAUCAGCACGCCGCGGUGAAUACGUUCCCGGGCCUUGUACACACCGCCCGUCACACCACGAGAGUUUGUAACACCCGAAGUCGGUGAGGUAACCUUUUGGAGCCAGCCGCCUAAGGUGGGAUAGAUGAUUGGGGUGAAGUCGUAACAAGGUAGCCGUAUCGGAAGGUGCGGCUGGAUCACCUCCUUUCUAAGGAA